RNAcentral lists this ribosomal RNA (1476 nucleotides) under Triticum aestivum (bread wheat). RNAcentral's name for it is "partial small subunit ribosomal RNA". Lineage: Eukaryota; Viridiplantae; Streptophyta; Magnoliopsida; Poales; Poaceae. The record is from RNAcentral.
AUGGCGUCGAGCGACAACGACGACCAGGGCUACAGCGAUUUCGACGAGGAGGAGGACCCGAUCGAGCUCGAGUCGGACGACGACAUGGCGACGCUGCUGGCCGCGAGGAGGCAGAAGUACAAGGUCCUCACCGAGGACGCCGUGCGCGCGCUCCAGGACGACUGCAUCGCCGGGGUCGCCGACCUCAUCCAGGUCCCGCCGGCGAUCGCGGCCAUCGUCCUGCGCCACUGCCACUGGAGCUCCCUCGUGGUCCAGGACAAGUGGUUCUCCGACGAGCAGGGCCUCCGCGCCGCCGUCGGCCUGCUGCCGCCCAGCGACGGCGACGCCGUGGCAGAGCCCAAGCGCAAGCGCAAGGGUAAGAAGCUCACCUGCGACCUCUGCUUCGACAAUCACGCUCCAAGCCAGAUGAAGUCGGCGGGGUGCGGCCACCUGUACUGCCGCGUUUUCUGGCGCGGGUACAUACGCGCGGCGGUGGAGGACGGCGCCCGGUGCCUGUCGCUGCGGUGCCCGGACCCGUCCUGCUCGGCGGCCGUGAUCCGGGACCUGGUGGACGACGUCGCCGACGAGGAGGACAAGCAGCGGUACGCGGGGUUCGCGCUCCGGUCGUACGUGGAGGAGAGCAAGACCAUGAGGUGGUGCCCCGCUCCCGGGUGCGGCCUCGCCAUGGAGUACCUCGGCGGGGAAAGCCUGAGCGAGCAGCUGGACGUGGUGUGCGACUGCGGCCACGGCUUCUGCAUCGUGUGCGCGGAGGAGUCGCACCGGCCGGUGCCGUGCCGCACGGUGCGCGAGUGGGCGGCCAAGAACAGCUCCGAGUCGGAGAGCACCAACUGGGUGAUAGCCAACACGAAGCUCUGCCCCAAGUGCCGGCGCCCCAUCGAGAAGAACACGGGCUGCAACCACAUGACCUGCCGGGACCCCUGCCGCCACCAGUUCUGCUGGAUCUGCCUCGCCGACUACCACGGCGGCCACACCUGCAACCGCUACGAGGUCGACGAGAUCGACGCCCGGCAGGCCUACGCCAGGGCCUCCCUUGACAGGUACAUCCAUUACUACGAGCGCUGGGUGGCGCAUGAACACUCACGCCAGAGGGCCAGCGAGGACAUGUUCGAGCUGGAGAGCGCCCGCGAGGUCUACCUCGAGGGCGCCGCCGCCGACGAGGCGCAGAGGCAGCUCGGGUUCCUCAUCGACGCCUACAGGCAGAUCCUGGAGGGGCGACGGAUGCUGAGGUGGACCUACGCAUACGGCUACUUCGCCGACAGGGACAAGCUCAACCUCCUCGAGUGCCUCCAGGGCGAGGCCGAGGGCUCGCUGGAGCGCCUCCACGAGAUGGCCGAGGCGGAGCGCACCGCCAGCGAAAACUACUACGCUGCCGACGGCGGCGUCUCGUCCUACUUCGACAGGCUAGCAAAGCUCACCAAACAGACCCACGAUUACUUUGAGAGCAUGGCUGAAGCUUUCCAAACCGAUCUCGACUAG